AUACGUAGGGGGCGAGCGUUGUCCGGAAUGAUUGGGCGUAAAGGGCGUGUAGACGGUCAUAUAAGUUACAGGUGAAAGCCCAUUUUUCAAGGAUGGAACUGCCUGUAAGACUGUAAGACUUGAGUGCAGGAGAGGGAAGCGGAAUUCCAAGUGUAGCGGUGAAAUGCGUAGAUAUUUGGAGGAACACCAGUGGCGAAGGCGGCUUUCUGGACUGCAACUGACGUUGAGGCGCGAAAGCGUGGGGAGCGAACAGGAUUAGAUACCCUGGUAGUCCACGCUGUAAACGAUGGAUGCUAGGUGUGGGGGGUAUCGACCCCCUCCGUGCCGGAGUUAACGCAAUAAGCAUCCCGCCUGGGGAGUACGGCCGCAAGGUUGAAACUCAAAUGAAUUGACGGGG
RNAcentral lists this ribosomal RNA (397 nucleotides) under uncultured bacterium. Its description in RNAcentral is "partial 16S ribosomal RNA". It matches the Rfam family "Bacterial small subunit ribosomal RNA", at positions 523 to 918 of the family's 1533-position model. The record is from RNAcentral.